UACGAAGGGGGCUAGCGUUGCUCGGAAUCACUGGGCGUAAAGGGUGCGUAGGCGGGUUUUUAAGUCAGAGGUGAAAUCCUGGAGCUCAACUCCAGAACUGCCUUUGAUACUGAGAAUCUUGAGUACGGGAGAGGUGAGUGGAACUGCGAGUGUAGAGGUGAAAUUCGUAGAUAUUCGCAAGAACACCAGUGGCGAAGGCGGCUCACUGGCCCGAUACUGACGCUGAGGCACGAAAGCGUGGGGAGCAAACAGG
This 253-nucleotide ribosomal RNA is filed under the name uncultured bacterium. RNAcentral's name for it is "partial 16S ribosomal RNA". It matches the Rfam family "Bacterial small subunit ribosomal RNA", at positions 524 to 776 of the family's 1533-position model. The record is from RNAcentral.